This is an RNA transcript of Syngnathoides biaculeatus (alligator pipefish), 1029 nucleotides long. RefSeq lists it as uncharacterized. Lineage: Eukaryota; Metazoa; Chordata; Actinopteri; Syngnathiformes; Syngnathidae. The transcript is spliced from 6 exons. The record is from RefSeq and is a predicted model, not a curated record.
UUGUUGACACCCCCCCCCCCCCACACACACACACUUAAAUGUUUUUCUGAUGUCUCAAAAGUAUUCUCUCAAUUGUCUGUCUGCCGUCGUCCUAGGGAGGCUCCAACCACCGGGAACAAAAUUCCUUGCGCGUUGUUGACAUGACUCGGCCAAGGGUGCCGAAGGUGAAGCCCAGAAUUACGGGGCGCCGCGAAGGCACCGGCCGUCGUCAUUUUCCUCGCCGGUUGCCGCAAAGUGCAAAGUCGUCGUCGUCGUCGUCGCCGCCGCCGCCGCCUCAAGCGGUCCCUUCGAAUGACGACGCGGCCCUCGAUCGGGGCUGCCGGAGCUUUUGUCAGCGCAAGCGGAGGUCGGGAAACGCAGGCGGGCGUCGGGCCAGUCGGCUCGCCGGCGCCACCGGGGUUAGCAUAUUAGCUGCGGUCGAGGCCGUUCCGAACAUGACGUCGGCUUCCACCAAAGUCGGAGAAAUCUUUUCAGCGGCCGGUGCCGCUUUCAGCCGACUCGGAGAACUCACCAUGCAGCUUCACCCCGUGGCAGAAAGCAACCCAGGCAGGAGCCCCGCUAAGCGGAAGCACGAAGACGUCGCUCGGAGCGGCUCGUCCGAGGGCGUCCCGCCGCCGAAGACCGCGGCGACCAAGAAGCCCGCCGUCGGCGGUGCCGCUCCAGGUCCGGGCCCCGGCGGCCAGCCCGCUGCCGCGAAGAAGCGGAAGACCGCCGCGACCUGGUGGACAUCGAGGGACCGGUUCGAGCGUGCCCGUCCAAAAAGCUCAACUUCGACCAAGAUACGCUGAACCUGGACUCCGGCCUCAUCAUGAACUCCGGCGACCUUCCGCUGCUGUCGCGCUGACGUCAUGGCACACCCGAAUUGAGUUGCCAACAAGCGAGCGGCGGACGAGGCUGCGGACGCUCAACGCCAAAAACGACCAUUUGGGGAACUCCUGAAGUUGAGCGCUUCGCACUGCAACGGUUUUUUGUUCUUCUUGUUUUUCGGCAAGCAAAGACACUUGAAAAAAAUAAAAAGGCAUCUAUGAA